AGUGAACGCUGGCGGUAGGCCUAACACAUGCAAGUCGAACGGCAGCACAGGAGAGCUUGCUCUCUGGGUGGCGAGUGGCGGACGGGUGAGGAAUACAUCGGAAUCUACUCUGUCGUGGGGGAUAACGUAGGGAAACUUACGCUAAUACCGCAUACGACCUACGGGUGAAAGCAGGGGACCGUCGGGCCUUGCGCGAUUGAAUGAGCCGAUGUCGGAUUAGCUAGUUGGCGGGGUAAAGGCCCACCAAGGCGACGAUCCGUAGCUGGUCUGAGAGGAUGGUCAGCCACACUGGAACUGAGACACGGUCCAGACUCCUACGGGAGGCAGCAGUGGGGAAUAUUGGACAAUGGGCGCAAGCCUGAUCCAGCCAUACCGCGUGGGUGAAGAAGGCCUUCGGGUUGUAAAGCCCUUUUGUUGGGAAAGAAAUCCAGCUGGCUAAUACCCGGUUGGGAUGACGGUACCCAAAGAAUAAGCACCGGCUAACUUCGUGCCAGCAGCCGCCGUAA
Molecule: ribosomal RNA, 506 nt
Filed under: uncultured bacterium
Lineage: Bacteria
Description: partial 16S ribosomal RNA
Rfam family: Bacterial small subunit ribosomal RNA
Source: RNAcentral